GUAUUUAGUCGUUUUGAAGCUUCAUUUAUAUCUGAUGCUUCCAAAGAGUGCCUUAAUUUUCAUGUUCGUCGCGCUUCUAAUCGCCAACGAACUGUUAGGCGGAUCUGCUGGUCCAACCGAACCAAAGAAAGGCGUAGAAGAUGAUAAGUACGGCGAUCAGACUAGCGCAGGGGUAUCGCAU
This is a long non-coding RNA of Bactrocera neohumeralis, 181 nucleotides long. RefSeq lists it as uncharacterized. Lineage: Eukaryota; Metazoa; Arthropoda; Insecta; Diptera; Tephritidae. The transcript has 2 exons. The record is from RefSeq and is a predicted model, not a curated record.